GGAGUACUCCCUCCGUUCGGAAUUACUUGUCUCAGAAAUGGAUAUAUCUAGAACAAAAAUACGUCUAGAUACACCCAUUUGUGCGACAAGUAAUUCCGAACGGAGGGAGUACCUC
Triticum aestivum (bread wheat) is the source of this 115-nucleotide non-coding RNA. Lineage: Eukaryota; Viridiplantae; Streptophyta; Magnoliopsida; Poales; Poaceae. The record is from Rfam.